Aegilops tauschii subsp. strangulata is the source of this 1501-nucleotide long non-coding RNA. RefSeq lists it as uncharacterized. The record is from RefSeq and is a predicted model, not a curated record. Lineage: Eukaryota; Viridiplantae; Streptophyta; Magnoliopsida; Poales; Poaceae.
AAAAAAAGAGGGGUAAAAAGAAAAAAGGGAAACUAAAAAGGCCUCUCGAGAAACCCUAGAGCCAAUCACCGCCGCCGCUCUCUCCAAUCCCCUCCGCCACGCCCGUGUCCCGUCUCCCAUUCCAAUCCCCUCUGCUCCAGCUGCUAUGCUCUGCAUCUCCUUCGACUCCUCUCCUCGUCUUUCUUGCGUGACUCCUGCUCGAGUGCGGGGCGUGGAGAUGGUUGUCCGCGGCGCCGGCGCACGACGCGGAGAAGCGGCGGUGGCGUGUUGUGGCUGUACUGGGUUGGCCGGCUGAUGCCGCUCGGAUCCUGUUCGACGAGAUUGUCGGCGACGUGUUGCGGGAGCAGGAGAGUGGGGUCUAGUCCCGGCAGUUUGGGGCACGCUGCUGUUGCUCGUGCAGGAGAACGGUGGCUGCAGCGGCGCGUUCGGGGAGAGCUACGUCGACCCCAUCUUCGUUAUACACGGCAGCCGACCGAGCUCCGUGCGCCGGUUUGGUGUCCGGGAGCUGGCGGCAGGAAGUCAAGGUCAUCGACGUCGCAGUCCAUAGAUCAUCCUCCCUGUUGUGACACCCCACAGGCACUUUCCUCUUUGGUCGCCCCUCCUCACGGACGCUUCAGAACGACAUCUCAGCACGAUGUCGGUGGAGGAGAGGAUCACUAUCGUGCGCUCAGCGGCUGGAACAUGCUGAGGUCCUCAUUCGACCUUAAUUUCAAGGUAGCUUUGCUGUUUAAUUACAUUCCCUCCUAGCUAGCUAAAAAGAGACAUUCAUUUUUGUGUGUGCAGAAUUGCGUGAGUUGUCAGUGAAAAGUUAGUAGAGCUUGCUUAAUCAUGAUGUAGUAAUUAGUGCAUUGUUGCUUAUGUGAAUUUUUUAGGAACGAACAUAGCCACGAAAUAAAAAUGACCACUAUGCUAAAGAGGCUUAUUCUAAACAUGGCAUCUUUAUGUCAGUUACCUAUAGUGUCUAAAUGCUUACAUCCCAAUUUUCCUAGAAAUUUGUGUGUCCUUCCUCUUAGCCUUUAGGCACUGCAAGUUACAUAUGUGAAAUUGUCUGUCUCCAGCAGUAGCAUUUCAUUCAUUUGUUCUGGGGCAAGUGAUGAACGCCUUGAUGCGCAAGAUCUUGAACUUACAUGCUGGCAGGAGAAUAUAUUCCUGCCAUCGACAUGGUUCAGUCUCCAUGGGUCAAACUACGUAACGGCUUGUAGGCAACCAGAGAUGAUAAUCAAGCCUUCAUCGCACACCUUGGACUCGGCUCGAAACUGUACCUCCCAUUAAAAAUCAUGUCCUGGUAAGAUGAGAUGUAACCAAACCUAUAGGUAAUGUGAUUUUGUAAUUUUGGCGUGCCAACGGAUUUUGGUGGAUGUUGGUUGUUUUGGGCAUGUGGUUUGUGUUGUCGGAAUUUUGAGGGGUAUUUUUAGUAGAUGUUGGUUCCUGCUCAUCCAUGUUUGGCUCUUCUAAUACCUAUGCACUCAUCUUGGAAUGAUGGUUUAUGAGAGCAUGUCAA